CUUGACCGAACCGAGCCACAGCGGCAGGCCCGGGUCACGGUCGCGGCCGUAGGUGGCGAGCAGCGCCUGCGCUUC
Molecule: antisense RNA, 75 nt
Filed under: Streptomycetaceae bacterium MP113-05
Lineage: Bacteria; Bacillati; Actinomycetota; Actinomycetes; Kitasatosporales; Streptomycetaceae
Description: ASpks TB sRNA
Rfam family: ASpks TB sRNA
Source: Rfam by way of RNAcentral